UGGGGAAUUUUGGACAAUGGGCGAAAGCCUGAUCCAGCAAUGCCGCGUGUGUGAAGAAGGCCUUCGGGUUGUAAAGCACUUUUGUCCGGAAAGAAAUCCUUGGCUCUAAUACAGUCGGGGGAUGACGGUACCGGAAGAAUAAGCACCGGCUAACUACGUGCCAGCAGCCGCGGUAAUACGUAGGGUGCAAGCGUUAAUCGGAAUUACUGGGCGUAAAGCGUGCGCAGGCGGUUUGCUAAGACCGAUGUGAAAUCCCCGGGCUCAACCUGGGAACUGCAUUGGUGACUGGCAGGCUAGAGUAUGGCAGAGGGGGGUAGAAUUCCACGUGUAGCAGUGAAAUGCGUAGAGAUGUGGAGGAAUACCGAUGGCGAAGGCAGCCCCUGGGCCAAUACUGACGCUCAUGCACGAAAGCGUGGGGAGCAAACAGGAUUAGAUACCCUGGUAGUCCACGCCCUAAAACGAUGUCAACUAGUUGUUGGGGAUUCAUUUCCUUAGUAACGUAGCUAACGCGUGAAGUUGACCGCCUGGGGAGUACGGUCGCAAGAUUAAAACUU
RNAcentral lists this ribosomal RNA (554 nucleotides) under uncultured bacterium. Its description in RNAcentral is "partial 16S ribosomal RNA". It matches the Rfam family "Bacterial small subunit ribosomal RNA", at positions 355 to 902 of the family's 1533-position model. The record is from RNAcentral.